GGCGAGGUAGCUCAGUUGGCAGAGCAUCGGACUCAUAAUCCGCUGCUCCGCAAAAAAUAAUAAAAAAAAUCCACAAAAAUUUUGUGGAUUUUCUUUUUUUAAGGAUUAUUAAGAAAUUCUAUAAAUAAUUAUUGGAUCCAACCAUAAGCUCGAUGAGUCUCUUUUAAUUCAUCUUCGCCA
Molecule: transfer RNA, 180 nt
Filed under: Anaerolineaceae bacterium
Lineage: Bacteria; Bacillati; Chloroflexota; Anaerolineae; Anaerolineales; Anaerolineaceae
Description: tRNA-Ile
Source: RNAcentral